This 515-nucleotide ribosomal RNA is filed under the name uncultured archaeon. RNAcentral's name for it is "bacterial SSU rRNA". It matches the Rfam family "Archaeal small subunit ribosomal RNA", at positions 345 to 859 of the family's 1478-position model. The record is from RNAcentral.
AACCUUUACACUGCACGCCAGUGCGAUAAGGGGAUCCCGAGUGCGCAGGCAUAGAGCCUGCGCUUUUCUGAACUGUAGGGAGGUUCAGGAACAAGAGCUGGGCAAGACCGGUGCCAGCCGCCGCGGUAAUACCGGCAGCUCGAGUGAUGGCCGAUCUUAUUGGGCCUAAAGCGUCCGUAGCUGGCCGUGCAAGUCCGUCGGGAAAUCCACCCGCUCAACGGGUGGGCGUCCGGCGGAAACUGCAGGGCCUGGGACCGGGAGGCUUGAAGGGUACGUCCGGGGUAGGAGUGAAAUCCUGUAAUCCUGGACGGACCACCAAUGGGGAAACCACCUCAGGAAGACGGACCCGACGGUGAGGGACGAAAGCUAGGGUCUCGAACCGGAUUAGAUACCCGGGUAGUCCUAGCUGUAAACGAUGCUCGCUAGGUGUGCCGUAGGCUACGAGCCUGCGCUGCGCCCUAGGGAAGCCGAGAAGCGAGCCGCCUGGGAAGUACGUCCGCAAGGAUGAAACUUAA